RNAcentral lists this ribosomal RNA (460 nucleotides) under uncultured bacterium. RNAcentral describes it as "partial 16S ribosomal RNA". It matches the Rfam family "Bacterial small subunit ribosomal RNA", at positions 338 to 795 of the family's 1533-position model. The record is from RNAcentral.
CCUACGGUGGGCAGCAGUGAGGAAUCUUGGUCAAUGGGCGGAAGCCUGAACCAGCCAAGUAGCGUGCAGGAUGACGGCCCUACGGGUUGUACACUGCUUUUAUACGGGAAUAACGCGCCUUACGUGUAGGGCUUUGCAUGUACCGUAUGAAUAAGGACCGGCUAAUUCCGUGCCAGCAGCCGCGGUAAUACGGAAGGUCCGAGCGUUAUCCGGAUUUAUUGGGGUUAAAGGGAGCGUAGGGCGGAUGUCAAGCGUGCUGUGAAAUGUCCGGGCUCAACCCGGGCCUUGCAGCGCGCACUGGCGUGCUUGAGUCCGCGGAAAGCAGGCGGAAUUCGUCGUGUAGCGGUGAAAUGCUUAGAUAUGACGAAGAACCCCGAUUGCGAAGGCAGCUUGCUGCAGCGGAACUGACGCUGAUGCUCGAAAGCGCGGGUAUCGAACAGGAUUAGAUACCCUAGUAGUC